This 450-nucleotide long non-coding RNA is filed under the name Strongylocentrotus purpuratus (purple sea urchin). RNAcentral's name for it is "uncharacterized LOC105440629". The record is from RNAcentral. Lineage: Eukaryota; Metazoa; Echinodermata; Echinoidea; Camarodonta; Strongylocentrotidae.
UCAGGCGAACAUUGACAUCGAAGUGAUACCCUAUGAUAUCAAGAAAAAUCCUAUGGAACAAAGAAGCAGAUAAUGAUCACACAAGUGCAACAAAGCGCACCAGGACCUGAUCAUCAAAUGUUAUGGUGUAGAUCUAAUCAGGAACAGGACACCUAAGUUGAACUCUGGCAAGGUUGUCCCAUGCAGAAGGUUUGAUUCCCAGGCUUCUUUUGUACAAGUCCCUUGUCCACCCUCAUCUUGAGAACUGUUCCGGUGUCUGGGAUCCCUACAACAUCUCAGAUGUCCAGGACGCUACUUCACAAUGGGGACCACAAGUGAACCAGCAGUUUGACUGAGAUGAUCAGCACCUUUAGUUGCCUACUAUAUCUACAACUACAAAGCACUCUGCAAGAAGACUGGGAAUGGUGCACAAGAUAGUCAAUGGUCUCCCCGCUCUCCCUUGAAAAUUUU